This 253-nucleotide ribosomal RNA is filed under the name uncultured bacterium. RNAcentral's name for it is "partial 16S ribosomal RNA". It matches the Rfam family "Bacterial small subunit ribosomal RNA", at positions 524 to 776 of the family's 1533-position model. The record is from RNAcentral.
UACGUAGGGUGCGAGCGUUGUCCGGAAUUAUUGGGCGUAAAGAGCUUGUAGGCGGUUUGUCGCGUCUGCCGUGAAAAUCCGGGGCUCAACCCCGGACUUGCGGUGGGUACGGGCAGACUAGAGUGUGGUAGGGGAGACUGGAAUUCCUGGUGUAGCGGUGAAAUGCGCAGAUAUUAGGAGGAACACCGAUGGCGAAGGCAGGUCUCUGGGCCACUACUGACGCUGAGAAGCGAAAGCGUGGGGAGCGAACAGG